Molecule: ribosomal RNA, 1372 nt
Filed under: uncultured bacterium
Lineage: Bacteria
Description: bacterial SSU rRNA
Rfam family: Bacterial small subunit ribosomal RNA
Source: RNAcentral
GAUGAACGCUGGCGGCGUGCCUAAUACAUGCAAGUCGAGCGAACGGACGAGAAGCUUGCUUCUCUGAUGUUAGCGGCGGACGGGUGAGUAACACGUGGAUAACCUACCUAUAAGACUGGGAUAACUUCGGGAAACCGGAGCUAAUACCGGAUAAUAUUUUGAACCGCAUGGUUCAAAAGUGAAAGACGGUCUUGCUGUCACUUAUAGAUGGAUCCGCGCUGCAUUAGCUAGUUGGUAAGGUAACGGCUUACCAAGGCAACGAUGCAUAGCCGACCUGAGAGGGUGAUCGGCCACACUGGAACUGAGACACGGUCCAGACUCCUACGGGAGGCAGCAGUAGGGAAUCUUCCGCAAUGGGCGAAAGCCUGACGGAGCAACGCCGCGUGAGUGAUGAAGGUCUUCGGAUCGUAAAACUCUGUUAUUAGGGAAGAACAUAUGUGUAAGUAACUGUGCACAUCUUGACGGUACCUAGUCAGAAAGCCACGGCUAACUACGUGCCAGCAGCCGCGGUAAUACGUAGGUGGCAAGCGUUAUCCGGAAUUAUUGGGCGUAAAGCGCGCGUAGGCGGUUUUUUAAGUCUGAUGUGAAAGCCCACGGCUCAACCGUGGAGGGUCAUUGGAAACUGGAAAACUUGAGUGCAGAAGAGGAAAGUGGAAUUCCAUGUGUAGCGGUGAAAUGCGCAGAGAUAUGGAGGAACACCAGUGGCGAAGGCGACUUUCUGGUCUGUAACUGACGCUGAUGUGCGAAAGCAUGGGGAUCAAACAGGAUUAGAUACCCUGGUAGUCCACGCCGUAAACGAUGAGUGCUAAGUGUUAGGGGGUUUCCGCCCCUUAGUGCUGCAGCUAACGCAUUAAGCACUCCGCCUGGGGAGUACGACCGCAAGGUUGAAACUCAAAGGAAUUGACGGGGACCCGCACAAGCGGUGGAGCAUGUGGUUUAAUUCGAAGCAACGCGAAGAACCUUACCAAAUCUUGACAUCCUUUGACAACUCUAGAGAUAGAGCCUUCCCCUUCGGGGGACAAAGUGACAGGUGGUGCAUGGUUGUCGUCAGCUCGUGUCGUGAGAUGUUGGGUUAAGUCCCGCAACGAGCGCAACCCUUAAGCUUAGUUGCCAUCAUUAAGUUGGGCACUCUAAGUUGACUGCCGGUGACAAACCGGAGGAAGGUGGGGAUGACGUCAAAUCAUCAUGCCCCUUAUGAUUUGGGCUACACACGUGCUACAAUGGACAAUACAAAGGGCAGCGAAACCGCGAGGUCAAGCAAAUCCCAUAAAGUUGUUCUCAGUUCGGAUUGUAGUCUGCAACUCGACUACAUGAAGCUGGAAUCGCUAGUAAUCGUAGAUCAGCAUGCUACGGUGAAUACGUUCCCGGGUCU